Molecule: ribosomal RNA, 253 nt
Filed under: uncultured bacterium
Lineage: Bacteria
Description: partial 16S ribosomal RNA
Rfam family: Bacterial small subunit ribosomal RNA
Source: RNAcentral
UACGUAGGGUGCAAGCGUUGUCCGGAAUUAUUGGGCGUAAAGCGCGCGUAGGCGGUCCGGUAAGUCCGCUGUGAAAGUCGGGGGCUCAACCCUCGGAUGCCGGUGGAUACUGUCGGGCUUGAGUACGGAAGAGGCGAGUGGAAUUCCCGGUGUAGCGGUGAAAUGCGCAGAUAUCGGGAGGAACACCCGUAGCGAAGGCGGCACUCUGGGCCGGAACUGACGCUGAGGAGCGAAAGCGUGGGGAGCAAACAGG